Molecule: transfer RNA, 75 nt
Filed under: Litoreibacter albidus
Lineage: Bacteria; Pseudomonadati; Pseudomonadota; Alphaproteobacteria; Rhodobacterales; Roseobacteraceae
Also listed under: 1 other name
Description: tRNA_Val_GAC
Rfam family: tRNA
About the family: Transfer RNA (tRNA) molecules are approximately 80 nucleotides in length. Their secondary structure includes four short double-helical elements and three loops (D, anti-codon, and T loops). Further hydrogen bonds mediate the characteristic L-shaped molecular structure. tRNAs have two regions of fundamental functional importance: the anti-codon, which is responsible for specific mRNA codon recognition, and the 3' end, to which the tRNAs corresponding amino acid is attached (by aminoacyl-tRNA synthetases). tRNAs cope with the degeneracy of the genetic code in two manners: having more than one tRNA (with a specific anti-codon) for a particular amino acid; and 'wobble' base-pairing, i.e. permitting non-standard base-pairing at the 3rd anti-codon position.
Source: RNAcentral
GCGCGCUUAGCUCAGCGGUAGAGCACUUCGUUGACAUCGAAGUGGUCACUGGUUCGAUCCCAGUAGUGCGCACCA